AACUACCGCGCGGUCCGAGCCCUGGUCAUGGAGACCUUGAAUGAAGGCCGGCUCCGGCUGGUCCUGAAGCACUACCUUCAGAGGGGAGAGGUACUCGACCCAACUGCAGCCAAUCGCAUGGAGCCGCUGUGGACAGGUGACCCUGCCCCUGGUCUCGGGUCCUGUGUCUCAGCCUCUCCCACUGCCUAGGCAUCCUGACCCCAGCUUCCCACAGGUUUCUGGCCAGCUCCGUCUCUAUCCCUAGGGGUCCCCUUACACCGCUUGGUCUCCAGGUGAGUGGCCUAGCGUCUCCCACUCGUCACCACCGCCACCCACACUCCCCGCACACACCCCUCACUCCGAUUACACACUGGCCUCCCUGGCAAGGCCCCACCUCUCUGUCCUGGGUUCUUCAUUGCUGCUGAACAGACAUGGGGUUGGUGUGGGUGUGUGAGGAAGGAAAGGGUGUAUAACAUGAAGCAGAUGUAAGAGAUGUGCUUGAUGGGUGAAGGAAGGAUGGGUAGAUGGGGAAGUUGGAUGACUGGAUACAGGAAGAAAGGAUGGAUUUGGUGUGUAUGGGUAAUGGCUGAGGGAGAGAGGAAGCGAGGGGACCUGAGUGAAGCCUGGAUCAUUUCAGUUCACUGGGUGGCUGUUCAGUGGCUGGUUGGGCAUGCCUGCCUUUGCUGUCCUCCACCCCCACUGCACUGUCCUCUCCCCCACAGUGUCUUUGAGCUGCAGCAGCUGGUUGAGGGGCACCAAGAAUCCUACCUCCUCUGCUGGGACCAGUCACGAAACCAGGUACAGGUAGUUCUGAACCAGAAGGCAGGCCCCAAGACCAUCCUAAGGGCCGCCACACAUGGGCUGAUGCUUGGGGCCCUGCAGGGAGAUGGACCCCUUCCAGCAGAGCUGGAGGAGCUGAGGAACCGGGUGCGGGCAGGUCCUAAGAAAGAGAGCUGGGUCGUCGUUAAGGAGACACACGAAGUGUUGGACAUGCUGUUCCCAAAGUUCUUGAAAGGACUGCAGGAUGCCGGCUGGAAGACCGAGAAGCACCAGCUAGAGGUGGAUGAGUGGAGGGCCACAUGGCUUCUGUCUCCCAAAAAGAAGGUCUUGUGAGCAGCCCAGACGGAGGCCCAAGCCCAGGGCAGGAACCUGGAGCAAGGACACUUUGGCCACAGCAGGACAGGGGAAAGGCAGCUUUAUUUUUCCUUAGGGCAACUGCAGUGGGUGGGCCAGGCCCUCAUGGGAAGUGACUGCCAAUCAGAUGCAGUGGGCCCCAGGCAGAGGAAGGCCGGGAGAAGGGGAGCCAGGACCUUCUCACCCCACUGCCCCUUCCCCUUUUCUGGGGAGCACCGCAGGCUCCUCACCCCCACUUCCUGUGAGGCUGUGGCUUAUGGUGUCCAACGCAGUUGGUCUUAGGCAUAGAAGCCCCAGAGGAACACGGCCACUGCCAUCAUGAGCAGGGCAUUGAGGUUGACCACACGGGCCCAGCUCGGGUCCUCGCUGAUGUCCUCCAGCCGCCUGGCUGCUGCCGCUGCCUCCUCCUGGGUAAGGGGCGGAGGACUGCCCACCCCACCUCUGCUCAUUCCACAAAACCAGAGCAGGCACUGGCGGAAGAGGCUUGGUGCCAGGGCCUGGGGCUCUGAGGGAAAUUGAGGCCCUGCAGUUAGUUUGCGGGAACUCAGCUUCUCCAGCCCCACCUCCCAGCAUGGUGCCCUACCAUUCGUCUCCAUGGCACUCUCUGGGCACCCAUUCUGUACAGGGAAUGAGGAGCCUUGCUGCUCAUCAGCAUCCAGGUCCUCCCGUUCCUCCUUGCUGUGCCGGAGACUGAAGACCAGGCGGUGGAGCUGGGGAGGGUGGGAGCACGAACGAGGUGGGAGUUCUGUCCCCCCAUGCCUGGCCCUAAAGUCUCUUGCACACCAGCUCGUCACUGCCUGCCCUACCCACCUCUGUCCAGUCUACACACCCAGCCCAGGCUCAACUCAUGCCAACUCCACCCUACAUGGCUGCCCUGUGCCCUCGGGAUAAACCCCAAGCCCCUGAGCUUGUGUUUAAAGCCGUUGGCCUUGCUCCCCCAGCUUUAUCAGCUCAGGUCUGUCUACACCCAGAUGGUAGCGCUUGUGACACUGGCCUGGCAGUCCUGCUCACAGUGUUCUGUGCCUGUGUGCUCCCACCCUUUCCUCCUGCUGCUGCAGAAACCCGGCCAUCCUUCCACACCCAGAUCUCUUGUCCUGUCCUCACCCCACCCUGCCACCAUCAGCCCUGCCUGGAGCCACCUGCCCUUUGGCAACAAAACCAAACCUUUUUGUGGGCGUUCAAGAUGGUAUUGUGCCCACCAGUCAGAUCCUGUGUUUUGAGUCCCAAAGGCCAUGCCAAGGAUUGGCUUUGGGAGGCUUUAAUCACCAACCCAUCAACAUCAAGCCUCCCCCAGGCCGGUUCAAAUAAAUGUAUUUAAAU
RNAcentral lists this small RNA (2433 nucleotides) under Pan troglodytes (chimpanzee). RNAcentral's name for it is "retained intron". The record is from RNAcentral. Lineage: Eukaryota; Metazoa; Chordata; Mammalia; Primates; Hominidae.